UUUUUGUUUUCUCUGGUGGUGGAUAAAUAAUACUAAAAGGAGUCUAGUGAAAGGGACAAAAAAAAAUCAAAGAGCAGGGGGCUUGUGAAUUUCCAGGUACUUGGACUUUUUGUAGAAGGAGAGAGAAGAGGACUGAAGUUUGCCAGGAGGGCCCAUAUUUUUUCAGCUGAAGGAUAAAAUCUUUCUUUGCAGAGACAGUAUUUUGCUGAAUACUUUUUAUAAUGUGAUGAUUAUUAAAAAACAAAAAUUUUGGUCACUUCAAAGCUAGAAGGAGGAAUCAAAUAUCCUUUAAUAUUUUUUCCUUGCUCCUUCCGGUUUAUGCAUGCUACUGCAUGAUCAUCCGAGUUUUCCUUUGUUUUAAUAAAACUGUUCUCAGACAUUUAAGCUUAAACUAAGAGAAAAUAACUUUGUUGCCAAAAGGUUGUGCUAUCCAGAUUUUUUUAUAUGUCUGCAUGUUUUAAAAAACAACAAAAGAAAAUGCACUCUAACUUAUGUGAACUGAGAGAAAAAAAUCAGGAAAACCUAUGGGGAAUGAUAUUUUUUGAAAGACUUUUGUAUAAAGUUGAGUACUUAGAAAAAGACAAACCAGAUGUAAUAUAUUUUGUGGAUGUUUUUAUUUCUUGGAUUUAUAGUACCUUAUACUAAGGUUAAAAAAAUAUGCUUGAUAUUGUGAAAAGGUGAAAUUCUUCACCAAUAUUUCAUUUGCUCCUUUGUCACAUUGUUAUGCCAAUAUAAUAUAGUUAAUGAAAACAGCAUUUUUAAAACCGAAAUAUUGAAAUGGUGUAAUGUUGUACCAUUUGCACUGUGAGCAAAUGCUAAUACAGUAAAUAUAUUGUGUUUGCUGACAAUCAGCCGGCCUAUAAAUCUCCUUAUUUUAUUUCUUGUUUUCAUAGUAUAAAGUAUUGGUUUGGCCUGGUUUUUGUCUCGUUUUGUUUUUGGCUUAUGGUUGGUUUGGUAGGUUCCUAUGCCUGGCUUUCCUGUUCUUGCUCUAUAACUCAAUGUAAAACAAGGAAUUUGGCAUUGUUCGAAGUUGGUCAGAAUUUUGCACACUCUGGUGUUUCAAAUCCAGUGUCCAGUGUUUACUGUGGUUCUAGGAGAAAAGGAUUCUCCUCCACCCAUCUCAAACUGCCAGAGAGGUUAGGCAGAUCAGAUAAACUCAUGGGAAUCAGAACUAGUGACUGGAACCUUCUAGAACCCUUCUCCCUGGUUUCUAAUGGGUACUGAGGGUGGAAAGAGGGGACCGUCUGGUUUAUGAUCUCUCUCUCUGUCUCUCUCUACUUCUCUCUCUCUCUCUGUCUCUCUCUCUUUCUCAGUAACAGGGAGCAGCAGAACAGGACCCUGUAGAGUCGCUAUGGCCACACUGAGUAGUGCUCUUGCUAAAGCUUUUGAAGCCUGAAAAACAGGUGGAGACUUGACAGGGGUUCUCUAAGGUUGGCCAGAUAACCAGAGAGAUCGGAGUCUCUAUUGUGGUCAGAUAAUUGGGGAAAAUCAGAUUUAAAAAUUAUACAACUUCAAUCCCACUUGGACAAGACUCUCCAGGCCUCACUGUUUGUAGCUGCCUGAGAAAGAAGGUCUUGGCUGGAAAAGCUGCUCUUGUGAACUACACAGCAGUCCGGUGGGAUUUGGAGAACAUACAGGGAAUAUUUUAUAUAGCAUUAACCCCUCACAUCUUAUAAUGUCUGUCUCCCAUAAAAGUGAUCCUUCCUUUACUCGAUGAGCUUUCUUCCCCAGAACCUUCCCCUUUCAUAACUGAGUUUAUUUGCCAGUCCUAGAUCUUUCUCUGGUUCUCUUAAAGAGAUACAUGCCCUUCACUUUCUUCGUGGGUCCCCGUCUCCACCCUGCUCCCUCACCUUAUUUCCCAUUAGUCUUUAGAAUCCUCUGUCCUCCUCAGGCUUGUUCUAGAGCACUCUUUGGACAGAUCAGUCCUUUCUUUGCCCUUUCUUCCUACUUGCCCUCUAAAACACUCACUCACUUGGGCUUCUCUGUCAUGUAUUUCGCAUAUCAUCUGCCUCAGUGAAGCUUAGGGGUUCGGUGUCUGAUACUGGACUGUAUAAAUGUAGCACCACGUUGCAACUGGGGGACGGUGUCUCCAUGCCUGAAGAAACCAUACAGUGACAGGAACAUCUCUUGCUGACCCAGUCAGGCUCAUCACACUGAAAAAUGUGGGUGGUAUUUCUGGUUAACUGUAGUUUCCAAGAAGUUGAGGGCAGACCAGGGUGGAGGUGGUGGGCUGUGGCCUUAGAAAAGAAAAGAAUGUUUUUGAAGUAAGAGAUCAAUAAAGAGAAUGCAGUAUGGAAUCUUAAAUUUUCUCACCCACACAAUUCCAGGUCACUGGCUGCCAUCUUGAAUUCCUUUCUCUCACCUCAUGAAACUUCCAGAAUUCCAAGCUGCAAUUACAGCCACAAGGAGGUGUCAUUUGUUAACAAAAGACAUCCAAGAUGGCUGAAAAGUCCUAAUGAUUAAGCAUAUAAUCCACCUCUAUGCUAAACUAGAUAUUUCCUUUCCAGAUUUCUAUGUGUUUUUCAAAUGCAUCAGAGGGAGAUAGCGUCACUGGGUGUCUUCAUUAGCAUCCAGCCCCACCUGCACCCUCUCCAAUCACAUCAGGCCUUCAGAGUUACACUUUGUCACCAGUGUACUAUGCUGCAUGAUUAAUAAACUCACUUCCCAUUGGUGCAUAUUACUCAACACAACCUGGUUCAGCCACUGGGUUACUUGACAAUAUGGCAGCCCGCCUGGCUGGCACCAGCCCUGUAUGGUGUAAUCUCUGAUUCAUACUUUGUAGCUAGAUAAGACUGUCCCAGAUAGCAUCACACCAGCAACCCAACCUGCCUGGGUUUUGUAAAUAUGGGGAGAGGAAAAUCAACCCUCAAACUUAGGGAUGAAGUGGGAGAUGGCAGAGGGAAAGGCUUGGCUAUGGAGCUUUCAUGAGAAGGAAUCAAUGUAAGCUUUGCCUGAGAGUAAAAUCGAGCAUAAAAGUGUAGAAGAGGUAAAAGCACAACUCCUUCCAAAGUAACCUCUAAGGUGUUCAGGGGUGAAUGAAAAGACAUCUCUCUCUCUCUCUCUCUCUCUCUCUCUCUCUCUCUCUCUCUUUCUCUCACACGUACACAUACAUAUACACACCUCUGGAGUGGCUUACUGAAGACAACGACUUUGCAAAACCGUACCCAGCGAACUAGGCUGAUAUUUUGUGACAAGUGGGGGCAAAGAAUGGAGCAUGUUUUUAAAUGGUAGUGGCAGUAGUGAUGAGUGUGUAUAAAUGUGUGUCUAUGUAUUAUUCUCGAGUAUAUAAAAAGAAAUAGCAAGGUGGAUUCUGAUAAUAGCAAGGUGAUAGCUUAUGGCCAGUCCCUACUAAUCCGCUUUUACUAAUCCAGAAUUUGCCUGCCAUAGGUGAGGGGGUUGUGAGCUGCACUUUCUUGGCCUUGAUUGGCUCCCCUGGUGUCGUGGAAUAAUAAGCAUAGGGAAAGUAGGAGUCCUCUGUGUGUCCCAAAGACUAGAAGUCACACUGGCAAAAUCUUAAUGACUGGGGAAAAUGACUUUCUAAAAGGUGCCUUAGGGUUUUCAAAAUAGGUCAUAAUCUUAAAUCUGUCCCAAGUGGUCCGUUUUUAGAAAGCCCACUCUUUGUGCACAGGGAGGAAUGAGGUCUCAAGAGGAAGAGGAAAGAGUCAAGUGAAUCUCAGAGCCCCGUGCCCACACCAGACCCUGGGACACCACUGUGAACAGUCACUCCAUCAGUCUCCACAGAGGCCAGGAACAUGUCUGGUCUUGUCAGCUUCUUCCAGCAUCCCAGCUGUUGAAACUUCACCACUCAUUUUGCUUGAAGGUUCCUUUCUACCCCAUCUCUCAUAUUUUCAACAAUUGGUCAUUUUCACAGCCUCUGAAAGAACAAAGGUGGGCCAAGGUUGGGGGCAGUGUGAUGAGGCUUUCCCCACCUUGCACUAAAGUCUCUGACAUGCCCAUGCCCAGGCAGGAAGGGACGAGACCCUGACUCGUUGCCUAGGAUCCUCAUUCCCCAUCCUCAUCAUGGCUACUUCAUUGGGCUUCUGGAAUCGGGACAGUCCCUGCCACCACCUCUGCUGGCCACUGGGGGAACGGUGCUCAUCUGCCCACUGACCUGGGUGUGUAAACACUAUUUCUUCCCUUCUAGAAAACAUGCAUAUGGCUAGAAGAAAGGUUUCUGAGCAAUCUUACUAAGGAGCUAAUGCAAACAGAACAUAGCCAAAACCACAACCAAGAAGAAGUAGACAACAUGAGGUUCUAGACGGUGCUGGCUACUGAACAAAAAGUUCUCACUUCUAGGUUGGGUGGGAAUUUGGCCACUGUACGGUUUGUUUAAUGUUGCCUAGCCUGCAUCUUGGCCUUGUCUCCAGGAAGGCUCCUACACAUUCUCUUAGGACCAACACAUGGGGCUUUCCUGGUUUCCUGAUAUCUUACUCUGCUCUCACGGUCCUGUACAAAAGACAAAGGAAGUCACUCUCUGGGCCUUAUAAUGCUUCUCAUGGACCUUAAGCAACCCACCCUCUGGUUACAGUCUCCUCCUUCGUCCGUUCCUGGGUGCCUCUAAGAUUCUACAAGUGUCCCAUCCUGUCAUUGCCCCCAGUGAUGUUCUCUGGAUCCUGCUCAUUUUCCAUGGAGUGUGAUCACUAAUCCUUCAGGCUGGCCCUCCCUGUGAGGCCCACCCAGGGCCUGCGGCCAUCUUUACCUUGGGCCCUUCACAGAGGCAUCAUGACCUGACCAGAGACAGACUGCUCUUUUCUGACACAGUCAGCAGCUGACUUGAUUUCCUAUUUGAGUUACCCACUGAGUUCCUAGUUAUAUCUGAGGAAUGCUCCCACCCUUCAACUCCCUGGAGGAAAAGACAUCGCUGACACUACAGAGGCUGGGGACACCCCAACCCUCCACAGGGAAAGUUACCCUUGUCUGUGGACCUGUAUUCUCUGGGGUGGCUGCCCACCCAGAUACAUCAGAUCCCUGUCUCCACCAAAGAGAGCUUAGUGACCAGAACAGAACUGGGCCUCCAGGCACAUUGGCUUCUUCUCAAGCACACACUGCAAGAGCUCUCACACUUUCUACUCCUCAGUGUUUUGCUCCUCCAGUUUGUCUAGGUGCCUAAAGUUCUUCCAUUCCUCCUUGUUCCCUUCUCCUCACUGCUUAGGAAGGUCAGGCCAUCUGAGCAAGAAAGCAGAAAACUUCCAGCGCUGUAUGACCCAAGAGCACUAAGAAAAGUCUCCUUUGAGGCCCUUGUUCUUACCCAGGUCUCCAUCCCGAACAUUGAGAGGUGCUGUGAUAACCCAGCAGCUACUCAGCUUUUCCCUCAGGGCCCUGAGCCCGCUUUGGAAUCUCCACCUCCAUCUUAGAUCUGAAUCUCAACUCCGCCACUGGCUUACAGUGUGAGACAAGUUUCUUAGUCUCUCUCAACCUCAGUCUCCUCCUGUCUUAACUUUGCUGUUGUAGAGUCAAAUGAGGCAAUGUAUAUGAUGCCUGGUUCAUUGUGGGUGCUCCAUAAAUGUUACUUAUCUUCUUUGUCCCUUGCCCUGUCCCCUUUCCCCAUCCUCAAACACAGACGCAUGAAUGAAGGCUCUGUCUCCACCAGGGAUCUGUACACAAAUUCAAAUAUAGCCAAGGGAACCUUUAUGUCUUCACCACCCACCACCAACUCCAGCCCUCCACUGGACAUCUGUAUUCUGAAAAUGAAUCCUCUCAACCCCACCCCAAUCCGCUCAGAGGACACAAGUCCUGUUCACUCCCAGCCACAGCUGCUGUUCAUUGUUGCCACUUCCUGGCUGGCUCCUGACCCCAUCCCAGGUCCUCUUGUCUCUCUCAUUUAGAUGGGUGGAUGUAACACCUUCCUGAUGCAGUAUCAUCUGCAAAGUUAAUUAAUGUGUCAUUGGGCUGUUGCUUGCUUCCUGAUCCUUAUCAGGGAUUUAAAUAAAACACAGCAGCCCCAGUUCCUCCCAUCUGUCCCUCUCCCUGGAUCUGGGGCUUGUUCUUAGUCAUCCAUCCUUGACCUCAGCCUUCUGGCCAGUUCUCAGCUUCCAGCCCCAGGGCUGAUGGAACUGCCCCUGCCCAACCUUAGUUUGGGAGCAGAAGCACCAUCCAGGGCUUUAAUGACAAUGAUGUUCUAUGAGAGAAGCAUGGACAUCAGGGCCCUUACCUCGUCCCAUCCCCUUGGGUGGGUUCCCCUGCAUUUGUACAGUCACAAAGGACCUUAAGAGGCCACUGAGCCUAACACUCUCUUUUUCAGACUAAAAAAGAGAGAGAGGCCUCCAGAGGUUCUGUGACUUUCUCCAAGGUCGCAUCCAAUACAGGAAGAGUCAAGAUCUCAAGUCCAGACUAUCAGUGGGAGGUCCCAUGGAAAGCUGCUGAUUGCUUCAUUUAUUUAGUAAUUAUUUGUUCAGGGAUAUAGCAGUGAACAAAAAAUCCUUCCAUUCACAAAGCUUCCCUUCUCCAGGGCAGAAGCAGAGACCAGUGAUGAUUCCUAAACCCCGACUUGGCCAAGGAAAGAAAGAACUGCCUCCUUCAAGAAUCCCAGCCUGAAAACUUUUUCUCUUCCUGUUGACAUUUGCCUUACUGCCAGGUCCCCAAUAAGAUGGAUGUCUCUUCCCGCUGCCCAGUUGCAGAAUGGGACUCUCCCUUGGCCUCAUCUCUCAGAAGUCGCUCCUGUGAAGCCAGCUUCCUCCUUCAUCUGUGGCUGGGUUGGCCAUGUUUCCUGCCUUGGCAAAGAGCUGGUUGAUGGCCAGGUUCCUCCAAUAUGGUCACAGUCUCACCCCGACCCCAAGCCUUGAAUGUACAAGAUGGGACAUUCCCAAAACCACUUGAUCCACUGUGUACUUCACCAUGAGCUCCAUGUUCCUGGAUUACUGCAAAUCCUGGUGCUGUGGCAUUAUAGCUAUAGAUUUGUCUAGGCAAUUUCAUUUGCAAAAGAGAAAUUUCUUCCUUCCUCCUUU
This is a long non-coding RNA of Suricata suricatta (meerkat), 6944 nucleotides long. RefSeq lists it as uncharacterized. NCBI's taxonomy places the organism in Eukaryota, Metazoa, Chordata, Mammalia, Carnivora, Herpestidae. The transcript has 2 exons. The record is from RefSeq and is a predicted model, not a curated record.